Candoia aspera is the source of this 395-nucleotide long non-coding RNA. RefSeq lists it as uncharacterized. Lineage: Eukaryota; Metazoa; Chordata; Lepidosauria; Squamata; Candoiidae. The record is from RefSeq and is a predicted model, not a curated record. The transcript is spliced from 3 exons.
GGGGCAGGAUUUCAAUUGCUUUUGAAAUGAUGAGGCCAGUAUUUAUGCUUCCUUUUCUAGAUUAAAUUGCAAAAGGCAAAUGGAGAAAUAAUAGGUCUCCCAUCUGGUCCACUCCCUGAUGACCUGCCACCGAAAGAGGAAGGAAAGAGCACUGUCUAUGUACCUGUGUCUAUCAUCAAUGCUAUAAUGAGGUUGUUGCGUGACACCUUCAAGUUUGCUAUUACCGAAAUCAAGGGUUCCAUUCUUACAACUGACCAGCUAAACAAAAUAUGUCCAGAGGCUGGCCUGCCUGCUGGAAAGCAAGUGAAAGUUGUAGUAACACAGAACGAUAAUCUCCGGUGUACUGUGUUGCCUGCUGCAAGCAACCUGACACUCCCUUGCAGAGCAGCGUUCUU